This 447-nucleotide ribosomal RNA is filed under the name uncultured bacterium. RNAcentral describes it as "partial 16S ribosomal RNA". It matches the Rfam family "Bacterial small subunit ribosomal RNA", at positions 29 to 523 of the family's 1533-position model. The record is from RNAcentral.
AACGAACGCUGGCGGCAGGCCUAACACAUGCAAGUCGAGCGCCCCGCAAGGGGAGCGGCGGACGGGUGAGUAACGCGUGGGAACGUACCCUUUGGUUCGGAAUAGCCCUGGGAAACUGGGAGUAAUACCGGAUACGGUCGAGAGACGAAAGAUUUAUCGUCGAAGGAUCGGCCCGCGUUGGAUUAGGUAGUUGGUGGGGUAAUGGCCUACCAAGCCGACGAUCCAUAGCUGGUUUGAGAGGAUGAUCAGCCACACUGGGACUGAGACACGGCCCAGACUCCUACGGGAGGCAGCAGUGGGGAAUCUUAGACAAUGGGCGCAAGCCUGAUCUAGCCAUGCCGCGUGAGCGAUGAAGGCCUUAGGGUUGUAAAGCUCUUUCGGGGGGGAAGAUAAUGACUGUACCCCCAGAAGAAGCCCCGGCUAACUCCGUGCCAGCAGCCGCCGUAA